RNAcentral lists this long non-coding RNA (254 nucleotides) under Mytilus galloprovincialis (Mediterranean mussel). The record is from RNAcentral. Lineage: Eukaryota; Metazoa; Mollusca; Bivalvia; Mytilida; Mytilidae.
GGUUGUUUAUUCCUCAUUUGCUAAAGGAAUAGGGGCCGGUUGAGAUAUCAAAAGUCAUGAGUAAACAUCCAUCGCCUGUCUCAAAGCAGAAACCUUUAUCCUUUGGUAAUCUCAUGUGCUUUUUUUUCAAUUUAAGUUCAAAAGUGCAUUUUAGUGUUUAGUGUAGCAACCAUUUCUCUGAACUAUUAUUCAUUAUUGUUUAGUGACCAAAAGAGGCCCGCCUCUAUGUGCGGAAUUUUCUUUCUGCAUAGAGG